Molecule: RNA transcript, 4565 nt
Organism: Brachypodium distachyon (stiff brome)
Lineage: Eukaryota; Viridiplantae; Streptophyta; Magnoliopsida; Poales; Poaceae
Exons: 14
Source: RefSeq, a predicted model, not a curated record
AGAGUGCAGACUCGGGUCAGACCUAAAACCCAAACCGAUGCCGUUGCGGCCCUCCGACCGCCCAACCCGGCAAAACCCAGACCGCCAUGCUAGGGCCGCCGGAGAAGGUGGACAUGGAGGUGGAGCCGGCGGAGGCUGCGGCUGCGCUCGUGGCCUUGGCGUCGGAGCCCUCUCCGUCGCAGCUCGAUGUUUUCAAGAACAGAAUUCAUUUAUUGCGUGAUGGAAACACGAGUGAUUUUGAUGCUUGGGUAUCUUUAAUAGGUUCUGUGGAGGAAACUAAUGCUAAUGACAUAGAGGUUAUUAGCUUGGUCUACCGUAGCUUCUUACUGGAAUUUCCUUUGUGCCACGGCUACUGGAUCAAAUAUGCAGCUCACAAAGCACGGUUAUGCACAUAUGAAGAUGUGGUGGAUGUUUAUGAACAAGCCGUCCAAGCAGUUCCUCACUCUGUCGAUAUUUGGGUCAGUUACUGUGGAUUUGGUAUGAGUGUGCAUGAAGACCCUGCUCUUGUUAGAAGGUUAUUUGAGAGGGCCAUGUCUCUUGUUUCAAGGGAUUACUUGUGUUAUCACCUUUGGGAUAAGUACAUAGAAUUUGAGAAUUCGCAGAAGCAGCUGAUUCAGCUUGCUACAAUUUAUAUUAACAUGUUGAAAUAUCCCACAAAGAAGCUGCACAAGUAUUACGGAAGUUUUAAGAAGUUGGUAACAUCAUUGGAGCAAGAGUUUACAAACUGCGGUGCUGAAAUAUCAUCAGAAAAUCUACAUACUUCUGAAGUGAUGGAAGCUGAGGAAUCUGAACGGGAUAUCUCGAUUAAAAUUGCUGGCUUAUUUGACGGAGGUGGGCAUCUUAAGGCCGAAUCAUUGAGGCAGUACUUAUUAACUGGGGACCGUCUAUACCAAAGGUCCAGUAAAAUUGAUGAAGAAAUAUGUGGCUUUGAGGCAUCCAUUAGAAGGCCUUUUUUUCAUGUCAAGCCACUUGAUGAUGACCAACUUGAGAACUGGAACCUGUAUCUUGACUUUGUUGAGAAGAAUGGCGAUUUUGACUGGGCUGUAAAACUUUAUGAGAGGUGCUUGAUCCCUUGUGCUAAUUAUUCGGAGUUUUGGAUUCGCUACGCUGAAUAUGUGGAUGCCAAAGGUGGCCGAGAGAUUGCAAACUAUGCUCUUGGUCGAGCAUCGUCGUGUUUUGUGAAGGGAGUCCCAACUUUCAGCACGUACCAUGCAAUGUUCAAAGAGCAAAUCGGUGAUGCACCAGGUGCUCGUGCUCUUUUUCUUGAAGGAAGCAGUGAUUUCACUUCAGAUUCCUGCAUGAACAUUAAUAGAGUGGCCAACAUGGAGAAACGCAUGGGAAAUACUAAAGCAGCUACUGAGAUAUAUGAGAAUGCAAUUGUGGAUGCCAUGCAAAGGCAGAACAUUGAAGUAGUUGCUGACUUGUACACUAAUUUUGCACAGUUUGUAUAUGCGGCAACUCGUAGCAUUUCUGAAGCUAAAGAAGUCUUUGUCAAGGGAAUAAAACAGGCACCCUGUAAACCUUUGAUUAAAGGAUUCAUACAGUUCAUUAGUACAUAUGGAGGACCUACAGAAAUACCUCUUCUUGAUUCUGUUAUUUCUGAUGCCGUGACUCCUGGAUCUGAUGUAUCAACAGCUUUAAGCCCUGAAGAUCGUGAAGAUAUCUCAUUGUUGUUUUUGAAGUUUGUUGACCUCUACGGUGGUGUUCAAGAAGUCAGAAAGGCAUGGGCUCGCCACAGCAAACUUUGUCCUCAUAACACAAGGAACCUGUCGCAGUGGUAUUGUACAAUUGAUAGUAACAAGAGGAGAAUAACUGAAUUUCUGAGGGUUGCUCAUGACCAUAGUCCAGAAGGUAUGACUACAUUGAAACAGUCAUCCAAAAGUGACACUUGUUCUUGGCAAGUUGAUAAAGAAGUUGGUUUGCAAGUGGACAAGAAUGCCGUGGAUUCAGGAAAACGACAGGGAGAUGCAGGUGAGCAGAACAUAGUAGGGAGUGUUGAUGUGCACCAGCAGGUUGGCGAUACAGCUCAGGAAUGCAUUGACAUGGCUCACAGUCAACAUAUUUUGGACAAUGACGGGGCAGCAAAAUCUUGCCCUUCUGUAAAUGAGGAAGCCCCUCAAGCUGAAUCAUGUAAUUGCGAUUCUCCUUCAAAAUCAAUUGCUGAUGACAAGCAGAUUGAUGCUCAGGACGAGAUUAAGACCACUGAGCUAUCUGCAAUUGAUCAUCCAGGAACAGUAUGCUCAAGAUCCGAUUCGCCAUCUGGGACAAGCUUACUCGAAGGUGGAAUUCCUUCCAAUCAAACUCCAAUAUUUCCCGAAUUAGAGGAAAAACAUGAGGAAAUCCAGGUAAAGGUGGAAACAGAGAAUGAUGUGUCUGUCAGUGAUGUGAAGCCAGAAAAGUCUAGUGAUAAUCAAGAUGCAACUCAUUGUGAUAGGGUAGUCUCUGUACUCGAUCAAGAUCAUAUUCAAUCUUCACAGACAGAAGAUCAGUCAGUCAGUGCAAAACCUUCCAGCUCAGAAAUGGCAACAACACAAGCGACCACAUGUUCUCAAUUAGCUCCCAGCAAUGCAGUGCCUGCUCAAGCUCCACUUCAGCAACAGAUGGAUAGUUCUCAAACGAACCAACCUGUUAACCUUUUUUUGGCUGGACAAAACAUGCAGCAGAUGCAGCAACAAGGGCUUGCUUAUGCAAUUCCUCAUAAUGUUCAAAUAUCCUCACAAACUCAAGCUCAACUCUUUGCUCAACCUAAUCAGGGAAACCAACAGUACCUCCAAAUGAUGCAAGGGUAUGAAUCUCAGAUGUGGCAAUAUUACCAGCAACAGCUGUAUUACCUGCAGGCUCAGCAUAAUCAGCAGAUCCAGUGUCUGCAACAGCAGCAGCUUCCAACUGAGCAGCUCCAGCAAAAUUAUAUGCAGCAGGUACAACAACUGAACCAGCAAAUGGUUCUUUGGCAGCAACAGGUGCAGCAGCAGCAACAACAACAAGCACAACCUGUUCAGCAACAGUCUAAUAUAGCACAGGGUCAGUAUCACCCUUCAAUGGAUACUAAACAUGAACACAAUAAACUGGAAUCUCAAAUUGAUCAUCAAAGCCAGCAAUUCCAGCAGCAGCAGCAGCUCCUUUAUUUCCAGCAGCAGCAGCAGAUGUAUCUUAUGCAACAGCAACAGCAGAUGUAUCAACAGCAGCAACAGCAGCAGCAGCAAUUAAUGCAGCAGCAACAGUAUCUCUCACAGAUGCCGCAGCAAGAACAAGACAUGGUACAACAGCAGCAGCAGCAGCUUUUUGAGCAACAACAGAAGCAGAUGGUAGUUCUGCAGCAACAGCAGCAACAGUUUGUCCAACAACAGAUGCAGCAAUAUCUGCAACAGCAAGCAAACCAACAAGGGUUCAAGGAUCAGAAUUACGAGUUAAACCCACAGGAUGCAAAGAAGAGGCAAAUGGAGCAUGGUCAACAAUCCGAAGCAUCACAGAGUGAUGGUUCCAAAUUGCGGAGUGGUGAGCAAUCUGAGUUGUCCUACCCAUCAACUCCACAGUCUCAGCGCUCCAACUAUUGAAUCAUCUUGUAUAAUCCUUGUGUUCUAUAAGCAAAGGAUCCUCGAAGUUCCACGUGAUUGAUUUAAGUACCAUUCGGCACAUCGGGUCCAUGAAAAUAUUUAGGAAAGCAAUGUUUCACUUGUUCCAUCAGAUGGCAUUGAGCCCAUAUUGUGUCAGAAUGGUGAUGCUGAGCGCCCUAUUUCCUUGGUACAGAAGUUUGAAUGCUUUCAUUUGCUAUCGGUGUUUGCUACUGGUGUGCAUACCGUACCGCCUUGUACAACAAUUGGCACAAUGUUUGGAGAGCUAGCUUCUGCUGAGUAUAAAGUGGUGAAGAAUGACAGCUGUGCCGGACAGCCUGCCAUGUCUAAUGUCAUGAGCACUUGUCCUGUCAAAGAGCACUGCUACACGGUGGGAACUAUUUUCACUCGCUGCAAAGUCUAAAUCCACAGAAGAUAACAAAAUGUGAUCCCAUUCAAUCCGAUCAUAGCUUGCUGCCACAGUGGUCCUGAUAUAUCCCCUUUCACUCUGAGGAAAAUAUGUGAUCCCUCUGGCAUCCACCAGAAUGGAAAUCGGCUCUACAGAGUCACGAGCAAAGCGAAUUGCAGCACAAGGCUGGCUGGAAAGUGUGUAGUUUAUGCUCAUUAUUAUAGUGCGGUAUCGCCUUGCGUACAAUUUAUUCCUUACGAUCCAAGGGUGAAUUAGUUAAGGAUAAGUUACAUGGCAUAUCUGUCAGGAAAUACAAGGAUUGGCUGCUCGGUUUGUCUAAUGUUUCAGGUGGUCAAUUAAAAUAGUCCAAUAGGAAAUGGAAGGUUUUUGUUUUGGGGUUUAAGCUGGUAAGGGUGAAUAAUCUGUACUGGAGUAGAAGAAAUUGGGGUCUUCUUGCAACACGUCAAAGUGAAAUUGUGGUUGUGGCCUGUGGGUGACGGGUUGUCUAGGCCGUAUGAGCUAACAAGGUCAGCGCAAAACUCAAAUAUAGCGUAAUAUCCUUUCGAUGCUACGAAUUAAAAAAUAAAUUGCAUAUUUAAAGAGAA